UAAACAAGAUUAGAUGUAACUAACUAUCUUCGCAACUUAUAUCACAUACAACAACACAUAGGAUUUCAAGAUCUAAGGUUUUGCAAGAAAGUAAGUUUUCUCUUUUCACUUUCUUCUUCAUGGCAUCUCAUAGUGGUACCCCUACAUGCCAUAAAGAGCACCCCAUUGAAUGGGAGGAGAGGGUCAUAAAAUCCUACUUGCUCCUA
RNAcentral lists this long non-coding RNA (206 nucleotides) under Elaeis guineensis (African oil palm). Its description in RNAcentral is "long non-coding RNA (EGUI_LNC042575)". Lineage: Eukaryota; Viridiplantae; Streptophyta; Magnoliopsida; Arecales; Arecaceae. The record is from RNAcentral.